This 473-nucleotide ribosomal RNA is filed under the name uncultured bacterium. RNAcentral describes it as "bacterial SSU rRNA". It matches the Rfam family "Bacterial small subunit ribosomal RNA", at positions 335 to 801 of the family's 1533-position model. The record is from RNAcentral.
ACUCCUACGGGAGGCAGCAGUGGGGAAUAUUGCACAAUGGGCGCAAGCCUGAUGCAGCCAUGCCGCGUGUAUGAAGAAGGCCUUCGGGUUGUAAAGUACUUUCAGCAGUGAGGAAGGUGGAGUCGUUAAUAGCGGCCUCAUUUGACGUUAGCUGCAGAAGAAGCACCGGCUAACUCCGUGCCAGCAGCCGCGGUAAUACGGAGGGUGCGAGCGUUAAUCGGAAUUAUUGGGUUUAAAGGGUCCGUAGGCGGGCCGGUAAGUCAGGGGUGAAAGUCUGUAGCUCAACUAUAGAACUGCCUUUGAUACUGCCGGUCUUGAGUCACGGUGAAGUUGCCGGAAUAUGUGGUGUAGCGGUGAAAUGCAUAGAUAUCACAUAGAACACCGAUUGCGAAGGCAGGUGACUAACCGUGUACUGACGCUGAUGGACGAAAGCGUGGGGAGCGAACAGGAUUAGAUACCCUGGUAGGAUAGCC